Molecule: ribosomal RNA, 393 nt
Filed under: uncultured bacterium
Lineage: Bacteria
Description: partial 16S ribosomal RNA
Rfam family: Bacterial small subunit ribosomal RNA
Source: RNAcentral
AUACGGAGGAUCCGAGCGUUAUCCGGAUUUAUUGGGUUUAAAGGGAGCGUAGGUGGAUUGUUAAGUCAGUUGUGAAAGUUUGCGGCUCAACCGUAAAAUUGCAGUUGAAACUGGCAGUCUUGAGUACAGUAGAGGUGGGCGGAAUUCGUGGUGUAGCGGUGAAAUGCAUAGAUAUGACGAAGAACACCGAUUGCGUAGGCAGCUGACCAGACCGCAAAUGACGCUCAUGCACGAAAGUGCGGGGAUCGAACAGGAUUAGAUACCCUGGUAGUCCGCACAGUAAACGAUGAAUACUUGUUUUCGGCGAUAUAAUGUCGGAGGCAAAGCGAAAGCGAUAAGUAUUCCACCUGGGGAGUACGCCGGCAACGGUGAAACUCAAAGGAAUUGACGGGG